This 435-nucleotide ribosomal RNA is filed under the name uncultured bacterium. Its description in RNAcentral is "partial 16S ribosomal RNA". It matches the Rfam family "Bacterial small subunit ribosomal RNA", at positions 29 to 507 of the family's 1533-position model. The record is from RNAcentral.
AACGAACGCUGGCGGCAUGCCUAACACAUGCAAGUCGAACGAUUGCCUUCGGGUGAUAGUGGCGCACGGGUGCGUAACGCGUGGGAAUCUGCCCUUAGGUUCGGAAUAACAGCUGGAAACGGCUGCUAAUACCGGAUGAUAUCGCGAGAUCAAAGAUUUAUCGCCUGAGGAUGAGCCCGCGUUGGAUUAGGUAGUUGGUGGGGUAAAGGCCUACCAAGCCGACGAUCCAUAGCUGGUCUGAGAGGAUGAUCAGCCACACUGGGACUGAGACACGGCCCAGACUCCUACGGGAGGCAGCAGUAGGGAAUAUUGGACAAUGGGCGCAAGCCUGAUCCAGCAAUGCCGCGUGAGUGAUGAAGGCCCUGGGGUUGUAAAGCUCUUUUACCCGGGAAGAUAAUGACUGUACCGGGAGAAUAAGCCCCGGCUAACUCCGUG